UACGUAGGGUGCAAGCGUUGUCCGGAAUUAUUGGGCGUAAAGAGCUCGUAGGCGGUUUGUCGCGUCGAAUGUGAAAACCCGGGGCUCAACCCCGGGCCUGCAUUCGAUACGGGCAGACUAGAGUUCGGUAGGGGAGUCUGGAAUUCCUGGUGUAGCGGUGAAAUGCGCAGAUAUCAGGAGGAACACCGGUGGCGAAGGCGGGUCUCUGGGCCGAUAUUGACGCUGAGGAGCGAAAGCGUGGGGAGCGAACAGG
RNAcentral lists this ribosomal RNA (253 nucleotides) under uncultured bacterium. RNAcentral describes it as "partial 16S ribosomal RNA". It matches the Rfam family "Bacterial small subunit ribosomal RNA", at positions 524 to 776 of the family's 1533-position model. The record is from RNAcentral.